This 396-nucleotide ribosomal RNA is filed under the name Triticum aestivum (bread wheat). Its description in RNAcentral is "partial small subunit ribosomal RNA". The record is from RNAcentral. Lineage: Eukaryota; Viridiplantae; Streptophyta; Magnoliopsida; Poales; Poaceae.
AUGCACUCCUUCGGUGAAGCCACAGGGCUUAAGCUAAACCAGGCGAAAUCUUCAGUGAUCCCGAUGAACUGCGAUGAGCUGCUGCUGCCUGAAAUUUUGCAGGGUUUUGGGGGAUCGAUUGCAAGCUUCCCCACAACCUACCUGGGGUUGCCCCUCUCCCCCAAGAGGCUGCGAUUAGUGCACUUCCAGUUCCUAAUCGACCGCAUCAAGUCGUGUCUCGCGGGAUGGAAGGGCAAGUUUAUGUCGCUAGCAGGUCGACGCGUCCUGGUGCGGGCGAUGCUCUCUGCGUUGCCUACUUUCGCCAUGACUGUGCUCAAGGUGCCCAAGAAGAUACUCAAGGAGAUUGACAAGGCGCGCCAUCGGUUUCUAUGGGCGCAAGACGAGGCUCUGACGUGA